RNAcentral lists this long non-coding RNA (953 nucleotides) under Felis catus (domestic cat). RNAcentral's name for it is "lncRNA (ENSFCAG00000045019.2)". The record is from RNAcentral. Lineage: Eukaryota; Metazoa; Chordata; Mammalia; Carnivora; Felidae.
AAAAACUAAACAAGAAAAAGUCUUGUAAGAAGAUGGUCUGAUAAGUGCUGGGAGAUAAUAUUUUUUUCUCAUUUUAUACCUGAUAUCUUCUAACCUGGAUAUGACCAACCUUGGGCAGAGACGACGUUAGAUCACAUUUCUAAUGUGCUGGCAGCUCCCCAUCCCAGAGGGAUUUUCACUGAGUAAGCUUCGAUGAGAAAUGAAGUGAAUCACAAGAAAGUAAUUUGACAUGAGGGAUUUAUCUUUGAACCAACCAGUUCCGAGGCAUAACCAGGGCUUGGGAUCCUGCUGUAUCUGUUACAAAAGGAUGAGCUACAGAAAACCCAGUGGGACAAUGAAUAGGCCAUCACUGUGUCUGAGCUGCUCCUGGAAAGUUCCAGGAAUGUGGAAAUUCUGUGAGGCCAUCUCAAUUCCAUCAGCCUGGACAAAACUCCCUAGCAGACUUUCUAUUUGUCACCUUCUUCAGUUCCUCUGGGGAAAGAGAACCCAGGCCUCCACUGCUUUCAAACCCCCAGAAUCAACUCCCAGAAUCAACUUGAAUUUCAGUUGGUUCCUACUUUGAACCUGAGAGAGAGAGGCAGGAGCCUUUCUUUCUCAAAGACCCACGCUGUCUGCUCACUUUCUGCUUCCACUAUAAGUUCCCCCCCACUCCCUUGCAUAGGGACUCUGCUCAUGUGUGUACUUGUAGGAGAAUGCCACAGGAAUCUGCUCUCUGUGUCAUGAUCUUUUCCCCAAAUCUAUUUCAUUUCCUCUGCAUGCAGCUUUCCUUUCCCCUCAAGGACCUAGAUAGACUUUGAAAAUUAAAACCCAGGAAAAAAAAGUUCUUGUUCUCUUUCAGUUUUGUCAUCCCACUAUUGAAGCAGUUAUUACAGAGCACCAGCAACUUCCUGAAUGAAAGUAGAAAUCUCUAGAGCUGUGCCAUCCAGUAUGGUAGCUAAGGGCCACAGGAAGCU